Ooceraea biroi (clonal raider ant) is the source of this 2034-nucleotide long non-coding RNA. RefSeq lists it as uncharacterized. Lineage: Eukaryota; Metazoa; Arthropoda; Insecta; Hymenoptera; Formicidae. The record is from RefSeq and is a predicted model, not a curated record.
CAGAGCAAUCGUGGAAUUUCGAAUUGGAUUGACAUGUACGAGUACCGAUAAAUUACUCUUUGUUGCCUCGCACGAGCGCUGCGCGUAUGCUGAAAGUGAUUUCUGAACUGGGGCUAAACGCAAGGCCGCUUCUCGGGACCAUUAUCUGAUAUCCUUAUUCCAAGCCGUCUCGCGGAUGUGCUUGUCACACUAUAUCAGACUUGAUUGAUAUUGCUUCUGUAGUUUGUGUAUGAGUGUGUGUGUGUGUGUGUGUGUGUGUGUGUUUUAUCUGGUUUUGAUUUGAUAUAAUUGAAAGAUUAUAUGUAUAUGUAAUUAUAUAUGUACAAAUGGCUGCUGAGUAGGAUUGGUCCAAGUUCAGCAAUACAUUUAUAUUAUAUGUAGAAAAAGUUUGGUUACGCUUUUUGCAGUUUUUAAUAUGAAGAGAUUGAAGCUAAUAAAAAAAAAGAAAAUAUGAAAUAUGAGGCAGAGACGAUUGCAGACUUGGAAACGUCUCGAUCAGAUUUCCAAUGUUGACACCAACGUAUCAUUCAAGGCUGAGUGACUUUUUCUUUCUGAUAACUGGAAACGGUUGUGAACUGAGGCGAGAAGGAAAAAGACUGCAUUGCCGCGUCCGUGAACUCCAUCAGUCCAUCAGGAGCGCUCGAUUAGAAUCAACAAGGAAGUUUGCAACAGGUUUGUCAAUAGUGCCGAUUCGACAAACUUAUUCUGACGUACUUCGAGAACGAUGAAGAAAGUGCGUCAGAGUGCGAAUACGACGUUGCAACACGUGUAUGCACGGACACAUCUACUACCUGCAGCCGCAGUGUGACGAAGCUCGACAUUAAAGAGCCUCUCGCAAUAUCGGGUGUAGCGCAGGCUGGAGAGCGACUUGGCAGGACCUAGAGGAUACGGAGAGUAUAAUGUAAACUAAUUAGCAACGAGUCUACAUCAAUUAAGCCCACUAGAGUGCCCCUUUCGCACUGACAUUCCGCUGGAGGGGUGCACCAGAUAUCGACAACCUGCCAUGACAAUGACGUAUCAAAAUUAUAAAAAUCAAUGUAGACUGUAAUAUAAAAAACGGAAGAGAAGACGACAGAGAAAAAAUGGCACUUUUAUACAUGAUAAAUUUUCACUCAAAGUUUUUAGCCCUUCAUGAUCAUUUUAUGAUUUUAUAAGAGUCAUGAAAUCUUUCGGUAUGUUUUAAGGAAUUAAAACUAUGAAUUUUCAUAGGCAUUUUAAUUCUGAAAAUACUCCCUCCUCUGUUAUACUAUAUUAUAAUUGAUAUUGUAUAUUGACUCUUUCAACUUUUAUAAUUCGACCUAAAUAUCUUGCAUACGUCAUCAGGAUAUAAAAUGGCUGAAAAGGAGGCAAUUAAGUUAUGUACUAUUAUAAAAUGGAAAAUGACGUCCGUUCCAUAUAAUCGAUUCGCGAUUAUCGCAGCUACAAUGGACGAUCUCGAAUCAUGCUUUUGAGUUGGUGGCACGUUGCAGAAUACUCGGUGAUCUAACACUUGGAUCGUACGCACAUUUUGGUGACACGUGAAUCGCUCUGAGAGAAAUGCGUAGAGAGAUACGUAUAGAUUUUAUUCUUACGUGGCUGUUUCCAAUAUUUAUUUUUAUACUGCAAAAGCAAUUGAAUUGCAGUUUGAUGGAAAUCUAGCCAAGCAAACGUUUAAAAAAUUCACGAUGCUAAAAUGGAUGAAAUGAAUGAAAAGAAGAUGAAAUCAUCACAAAAAUUUUGACAGAGAAUGAUAAAUAUUAGAUCAUUAACUAAAUCCGGGUCACAUCUGGAUGGCGAUGAAUCAUAUUAAACUCAUACUUAUGACAGCACAACAUAGCUUAUCGUAUAUUUAACAGAAUUUUAUAGGUAACCUCUUAAAAAACAAAAAGCAAAAUUCUCUAAAACGUCACUACAAUAUCUGUAGCUAAACGCGACCCGGAUUAUUUAGUUAACGACCUAACAUAUUCACCUAAAUAUUUUUGUGUCACAUGUUUCACCACUUAUGUCUCCGAGUAUUAUAAAUGCCGAAUAAACGGUACAUUGGUAGUGGCUCUU